GACGAACGCUGGCGGCGUGCUUAAAACAUGCAAGUCGAACGGACUUCUCAUGAAGCUUGCGAUUGAGAAGUUAGUGGCGGACGGGUGAGUAACGCGUGGGCAACCUGCCCCUGAGCCCGGGAUAACAGUUCGAAAGGACUGCUAAGACCGGAUAUACUUGCGGUGAAGCAUUUCACUGCAAGGAAAGGGAACGCUCAGGGAUGGGCCCGCGUCCCAUUAGCUAGUUGGUGAGGUAACGGCCCACCAAGGCGACGAUGGGUAGCCGGCCUGAGAGGGUGAACGGCCACACUGGGACUGAGACACGGCCCAGACUCCGUACGGGAGGCAGCAGUUGGGAAUCUUCGGCAAUGGGCGCAAGCCUGACCGAGCAACGCCGCGUGAGUGAUGAAGGUUUUCGGAUUGUAAAGCUCUGUCUUCCGGGACGAUAAUGACGGUACCGGAGGAGGAAGCCACGGCUAACUACGUGCCAGCAGCCGCGGUAAGCAUACUCGUA
Molecule: ribosomal RNA, 493 nt
Filed under: uncultured bacterium
Lineage: Bacteria
Description: bacterial SSU rRNA
Rfam family: Bacterial small subunit ribosomal RNA
Source: RNAcentral